GCCUAUUGAUGACUCGCCCCAAGGAUUUGGGGAUCGAGCUGUAUUUUAGUAGAUUUUGAAAACAGUUCCAGUGAUAUUUACCUGGAAGUGCCCUUGCAGCAAGUCCAGAAGUCCAGUCAUGCCAACGUGAGCUCAGAGAGUCUAGUCUGCGUGGGGUCUGAAGCAGCAGCAGGCAGAAACACGUUGCGUUGGCCUGUGAACAAAGGCGUUCAUGCUCUAAAACAAAGGAAGGAAACCAACCCCUGGACUUGAGUAACUCUAAGCAGCUGUGUGUUGGGGGCAGAAGGACACUUGUUCAGCAAGUCACAUGGAGAAGAGGGAUCUUUGGACAGUGUCUGAUGUGGUCUACCUUGUGAGCAAAGCGUGCGAAUUCCCGGGAAGGGAGGAGUGGCUAGCGACACAAAAUGCCUGUGGUUCACAGCUGUAGCACGGGAUUAGCUGAAGGGGACCUGCAAAGGAAAAAGAAAUUCAGGUCUGAUUUCGUCUGGAGGAUGCUGGGCGGGCUGAGAGCCUCAGGAGAUAAUGCUUUACGCCCAAUGUGCUUUCCAAAGGAGAUAGAUGACUGUCCACCUCUACAGAUAGAGAAGCUGAAGUACACAGAGGCUAAGAGACAUGCCCAAGGUCACACAGUAUCAUGACUGGCAGAGGCAGGAAUAGCCGAGAGGCUUUCUGGCCACGUGGGUC
This 684-nucleotide long non-coding RNA is filed under the name Crocodylus porosus (Australian saltwater crocodile). RNAcentral describes it as "lncRNA (ENSCPRG00005012552.1)". The record is from RNAcentral. Lineage: Eukaryota; Metazoa; Chordata; Crocodylia; Crocodylidae.